GACGAACGCUGGCGGCGUGCUUAACACAUGCAAGUCGAACGGAAAGGCCCUGCUUUUGUGGGUUGCUCGAGUGGCGAACGGGUGAGUAACACGUGAGUAACCUGCCCUUGACUUUGGGAUAACUUCAGGAAACUGGGGCUAUUACCGGAUAGGAGCUCCUGCUGCAUGGUGGGGGUUGGAAAGUUUCGGCGGUUGGGGAUGGACUCGCGGCUUAUCAGCUUGUUGGUGGGGUAGUGGCUUACCAAGGCUUUGACGGGUAGCCGGCCUGAGAGGGUGACCGGCCACAUUGGGACUGAGAUACGGCCCAGACUCCUACGGGAGGCAGCAGUGGGGAAUAUUGCACAAUGGGCGGAAGCCUGAUGCAGCAACGCCGCGUGCGGGAUGACGGCCUUCGGGUUGUAAACCGCUUUCGCCUGUGACGAAGCGUGAGUGACGGUAAUGGGUAAAGAAGCACCGGCUAACUACGUG
Molecule: ribosomal RNA, 468 nt
Filed under: uncultured bacterium
Lineage: Bacteria
Description: partial 16S ribosomal RNA
Rfam family: Bacterial small subunit ribosomal RNA
Source: RNAcentral